This 449-nucleotide ribosomal RNA is filed under the name uncultured bacterium. Its description in RNAcentral is "partial 16S ribosomal RNA". It matches the Rfam family "Bacterial small subunit ribosomal RNA", at positions 29 to 523 of the family's 1533-position model. The record is from RNAcentral.
AGCGAACGCUGGCGGCAGGCCUAACACAUGCAAGUCGAGCGCCGUAGCAAUACGGAGCGGCAGACGGGAGAGUAACACGGGGGAACGUGCCCUUUGGUUCGGAGCAACCCAGGGAAACUUGGGCUAAUACCGGAUAAGCCCUUACGGGGAAAGAUUUAUCGCUGAAGGAUCGGCCCGCGUCUGAUUAGCUAGUUGGUGGGGUAAUGGCCCACCAAGGCGACGAUCAGUAGCUGGUCUGAGAGGAUGAUCAGCCUCACUGGGACUGAGACACGGCCCAGACUCCUACGGGAGGCAGCAGUGGGGAAUAUUGGACAAUGGGCGCAAGCCUGAUCCAGCCAUGCCGCGUGGGUGAUGAAGGCCCUAGGGUUGUAAAGCCCUUUCGGCGGGGAAGAUAAUGACGGUACCCGCAGAAGAAGCCCCGGCUAACUUCGUGCCAGCAGCCGCCGUAA